AAAAAAAAAAAAAAACCUUGUUGAUAUUUAAUUUAUGGAUGAUCUAGCAAUAUUAUUUUCUCUUUAUUUAUAGACAUUUUACAAAGCUUUGGCUUACCAAACUUUUUUUUUUAAAAGUGAAACUUCACGUGAUGAAUUUUCUUAUACUUAGCUGCCCACUCUUUAAAUUUGUUAAUCUUUUUUCCUAUUCUUUGAACAGUACUAUCCCAUCGAUCUCUGUAAGAAAAAAAUUAUUCGUUUGUAUCAAAUACAACCUAAGUUUAAAAUGUUUAAAAUCAUGCUUGAUGUUCCGUAUUUAUUAAAAAGAAUUAACAAUUCAAAAUAUUGUCAUCUUGUCACUUGUCAGUAUUUUGGCAUGCCUGUGAUGUUUAGAAUUUUACCAAAAAAUAGAAAAUAAAAUUUUGAUGUUUAGAAUUGGUUUUGGUUUAUAUGUAAUUAGGGGUUGGCGUUAGGUAUUCGAUUUGGUAUUUUUAAAAUUUGGGGUUAGUUAUUUGGUAAUCGAUAUUUGAUUAUAGAUACCACAUAUCAUGCAUACUUAUAAACAUCGGUUCAAUAAUCCGGUAAUCGAUAAAUUAAAUUUCGAUUCGGUAUGGUAUUUAGUAAUAUCAUAUUAAAGUUGGAGAUAUACAAAUAUACGUUUAAACUUCAAAGAGUAUAUUUAAUAGAAAUCCUAUUUAGUAUUCUUUUUGUUGUUUUUUAUAAAUUUAUUACCAAGGCCCAAGAGAUUCUUUGGAAUGACUAGUACUAUUGUCUAUUUGGUUGGGUAUACAUAUAUGUGUGUGUGGUGUGUAUGUAUGUGUGUGUAUAUAUGGUGUGUAUAUCUAUAUGUGUGUAUAUCUAUUUUUUUCAAUUAUUAUUUAAUUAUUUUUAUAAUAUAUGACUCUAAAAAUAUAUGGGAAAGGGACUCCUAAAAUAUGAUCCUAUAAUAUACGGGAACAAUCCUGAUAAAAUAAAAAAAUGUAAAGAAAUUAAAUGACUAUUUUUAGUGUUAGAAAAAUUAAUAUUUGUUUUUGUUUUUUGGAUUUUGUCGUAUUUUUUUCCUUUCAAAAAUAUGGUGAUGGAAGUGCAUUGUUUGUUAGUGCUUUUUCUAAGAUUCAAUUGAGCUUGGACAUUCAUCCAUAAAGAUCAUUAUUAUUUCUACGAUUCUCUUUCUUUAGGGCCGUACAAAAUCAUCUUAUUAAAUCACCUUAUUUGUAUAAUUAUAAUUCAUAAAGAAUAGCAUACGUAAAAUUUUAUAUUAUUUACCUUUCAUUUUUUUUUAUUCCUUUGACGUGUGAUCUUUUUUUCUUCUCCUAGUUUGAUUUCUUCUUUCUUUCCUUUUAUUUGUAUGAUUUGCAUUCUUUUGUUACGUCAAUUUCUUUCUUUUUUUGUCCUUAUAAUUUUAGUUAAUUUUAAACUAUUAAAUAUAUAAAAAAAAAAGUAAAAAUAUAAUUUUAUCUAAAGUAAAGCCUGCUAGUGAAGAGCAAAAAAUUCUAUCACUUUUUUAAGGAUCUUUCUAAUUUUAAUAUAUUAUAGAUAUAGAUAUAUGUGUGUAUACGUGUGUAUUCAACCCUUAUAUAAGUAGGCAAUCACAAUUUUUGUCUUAAGUGCCCUUUCUAAUAAGAUCGUAUGAUUGGUUAUGACAUAAUCGAGCCAGGUUCGAUUAUACACCAAUUUUAUUUUUAGAAGAUCUUCUGAAAUAAUCAAAACGAUAUAAUUAAUUAAAAAAUAAAAUAUAAUCGAUCAGAUUAUAAGCUAACUAAUGUUUGCCAAAAGGUAUACUUAGGUCAUGCAUCGCGCACUCAUACAUUUUUGUUAUAACAACUUGAACUCGUAUUAUUGUUAUCGUUUAUUGUAUUUUUAUUAUUGCACAAUUUUGUGGUUGAUUAUUAUUUUUAUAGUAAAUUUUGCAGUGUUCCUUGUUACCAUGUUAUCUUCUUUGUAUUCCUCUUCUCCUGAAUUUUCUAUAUUUGAGCGGACAAUCUUUCGGAAACAACCUCUCAACUCCCACAAGGUAAUGGUAAGGUUUGCGUUUACCCUCCUCAGACCUCACUUAUGAAAGUUUUAUUGAGUAUAUUAUUAUUAUUAGUAGUAGUAGUAGUAGUACUACUACUACUACUACUAAGAUAAAAAGUAACAUGGGGGUUUGGGCCACAGGUGACAAAAGAGUUUUAAAAUGAGGCGUAGGUGACACAAGUUUUAAUUAUUAGUUGGAGAUGACAAUUACUUUAUUAUGUAUUAAGAAAGUUGGGGAAGUUUUAAAAUAAUCCACAAGUUUUUAAAUUUACACUUUGAUCCCAAUGUAUACCUAAAAUGACGGGAAACAGAGGGGAAAAAAGGCGUAUUUCUCUCUUUUCUCGUCCAUUGUUGUUUUCUCUAUCUUAGCAAUUUUUGUUGUUAAUUGUUUCUGUUUCUGCUGCUUUAUUCAUCAUCUUCUGCUUCAUCUUCUUCUUGUCGACCAUUUGUUGUUGUUGUUGUUGUUGUUAGUACAACGCUACUGCUGCGAUCUGACCAAUUUCUUAGGUCAAAUUUUGUUUACUACGUCACUUUCCACUUUAGCAUUACUUCAUAGGUUACUUUGGUAAGUAAAAUUAUGAUUUUUAUUCGCAUUUGUCAUCUGGGUACACUUCUAUUUUUCCAACAAUGGAUGGAACCCCGAUUAUGAAUCCAGCACAAGUGCCCACAAUUUAAACAGAUCAAUCAUCUGGUGCAUCAGAUGAGUAAUCUGUUGCAUCAGACUAUUUAUCUGUUGCAUCAUCGUAUUAUCUGUUGCAUCAGACGUAUUUAUCUGUUGCAUCAUCGUAUUAUCUGUUGCAUCAGACGUAUUAUCUGUUGUAUCAGGAUGUAUCUGUUGCAAUGAAUGAUUAAUCUGUUUGAAACAACACAAAUCAACCCCUGCCACAAACCCAACAGAUAAAUCUUGCUAUUACUGCUGGAUUCUAAAUUAUUCCUUUUUACGUCGAAUCGUCGUAACGUUUGUUGAGAAGAUAAUAGACAGAAUGAAAAUUAAAUAUGGAUUAAAACGUGAAAGAUCAAACAUAAUUUAUUUAGUAAACAAAUAAAAAUACAUAUAAUAGACUAAAAGAAAAAUAAUAGUCUAAUUAUUAUUAUUAUUAUCAGCAUCAUCAUUGCCAGCCGGCUAAUCUUCAACUGGAAGUAGCAAGGCCCUCCUCAGCCUGCAUAUCUCGCGGAGCAUUCUUGAUCUAAAUCCUCCCAAUUUCCAUUGUAGAUCACGAAGUUGAUUUCGAAGUUCAUCCACGGCGUCUUGCAGAAAAGCAUCAUUCCAUCCUGGGUCAGCCAUAAUCUUAUUUUCUAGAGUGUAAUAUGAAAGACAAGAUGCAAUAAAUAAAUAGAGUGUGUAUUUGGAUGAACGAUUGAGUAAGGACAGACCUAUUUAAAGAGGAUUGAAUUUGAAUGAGAGGCAAAAAGGCGUGACUAUUCACCUCCAUACAUUAAUUAAAUUUUGGAUUAAAUUAAGAAAAUAAAUAUUGUGAUAUAAGUCAUGACUUUUUAGAUUAUUAUUAUUAAUUAGUCUUUCGAAGAACCAUUUUUAUUGAGUUGUGAAAACAAAUGUUAUAUCUGUUACAUCAGAUAACACAUCUGUGACAACAGAUAUAUUAUCUGUUGCAACAAAUAUAAAAUAUGUUGCAUCAGAUAACAUAUCUGUUGCAACAUAUAAUCUAACUGUUCACCUCCAUUUAUUAAUUACAUUUUUUAUUAAUGUGAAAAGUAAUGAAUUAAUUAAAUUAAGAAAUAUUGUGAUAAGUCAUGACUUUUCAGAUUAUUAUUAUUAAUUAGUUCUUUCCAANNNNNNNNNNNNNNNNNNNNNNNNNNNNNNNNNNNNNNNNNNNNNNNNNNNNNNNNNNNNNNNNNNNNNNNNNNNNNNNNNNNNNNNNNNNNNUAUAUAAUAAAUAAUUUAAAAACAAAUUCAAAAAUAAAAAUGGUGAAAAGUCACGAUCAGUUAUUAAAAUUGUAGUUAUAAAUUGUGUUUAUUAUUUAUUUCCUUAUUAUUUAUUUACGAAAAAAAUUUCAUAUUGAAUAAUCGAAACUCCGAGUCAUGUCUUUCUCUUUUCACCCUCUCAAUAACAACAAUAGCCCUUUUUUUAUUAAUAACCGCCAGGUGCAACAUAUGAUCGAUCUGUCGUAGCAGAUUAACCUCUAACUGUUGACACAAAUUGCUGCUCAAUCCCUACCACCAACCGUCAACAUGGAACUCACAAAAAGGGAACUUGGUUCCUUAUUUUGAGUCAGGUAUGUACCAUCAUUUUCAAUGCAUGUAUUUCCUGAGUAUGUGUAAAACUUAAGCAUUGGUGAACCUGAUCCAUCCUUAAAAACCCAAUUCUUUAAAAAAAAAAAAAAAAAGUUCAAGGGUUUUGAAAUUAUCCUAGCUCCAAUUCAGGGGGAAACUAGUCCAUUUCCUUUAGUGUCAUCAUUAUUUUAGCCACUUCAUUAAUCUGAACUAGGUACCAUGAACCCUAAACCCUGAACCCUGAACCCUGAACCCCUCACCUUUCAAGUGUAACUAGCCAUUUCUUGGGGGAACAACUUUCUUAGGAACAAACUAAUAUCAGUUUCCUUAUUGUUGCAAAACCCAUCAUUGUUACACAAAAUUUGAUGAGUCCUUUAAUCAUAUCUAUUUUUUAUUAACCGGGGUUUGAAAGCCAUCAAGAAGAAGUCAUUUGAGAAAAAAAUAUCAAAAAGGAGUAAGAUCUUUGUGCAUAUGAACCAGGUUCUGGAAAAAAAAUAUAUAGGUCUCAUCAUUCAGUUGUUGUUUCAUAUACAUCUUGCAAAUGCACAAUCUACUUGAUGCAGAAAAUACUCAGCUAAAGGCCAAAAAAAAGAAGUGCAAAAUGGUAUGGAAAAGCAUUCCACCUCCUCUUUCUUAGCCUUCGUACCUCUUCCUCCAGUAUAUAUCCUCGAGUCUCUUGCCUCCAAUUUUUUUGUGGUGCUUAUGUUUUGUCUCAUACUCAUGAUAUGAUAUGCUUCUGAUUGGGGUCCUAAGGGAUUAAAUUGGUACAUGUCUACUCGAUUGUGUUUCAUCUUUCCAUAUCUUGAUUGUGUAUGUAAGCUGGUUAAUAUUCUCAGAUUGACUUACCUAAUUGUUACAAAGGGAGUGUGCUGAAAAGUAUUACUCAAGGGCCAUGAGUUAAAAUGAUAUUGCACUCAUUGUAUAUUUAUUGAGUUAUUUGGUUGUUGAUUUUUAAUGAUGCCAAAGGGGGGAAGUUAUAUGGUAUGGAGACAAGAAAUAUAUGAUGCAUUAUUUGUCAUCAUUAAAAAGGGGGAAAUUGUUGGAAAGUAGGAGAAUUUGUAGUUUUGAUGAUUGACAAAUAAGAACCUGGUUUACUACUUGUUGUCUUUGUAUGUUGUAUCAUAUGAACCAGGUUCGCAGAACCAAGUGAGGUCAAUUGAUAAAGCCAACGUGGGGGCAUCUUUGGGAGGUCAAACCACAAACAUGUGAUGGCAUUUAUGAGGCCUUAAAUGCCUUGUCCAGAUGCUGGUCAGAAAAGCUAGCAACAAGAUCUAAUUAGUUGGCAUUGCACAUGGAAAAUAAAGAAAAGUCUUGUGUGAAAUCUGAAAGGAAUCAAAUAGCCAACAGUAAAGAAAAAGUUCCAACUGGAACAGGUUGGCUUCCAUAAGAAAAAGUCUUUUGUGAUCUAAAGGGAAUUAAAGAGCAGCAGUAUAUAUGCAACAUUGCUGUCAAUUAUCAAAGACAACCUAUUGCACAUCCACAAAACAUAUAAUCUUGAGAGCAAUAGUCAUCAAAGCUAAAAAACUGCACGAAUUCAUCACAGCAAAACAGAAACCUGGUUCACAGUUUCUGUUCAAGUUUGCAGUAUUGAAAGUUGAAGUUUUGAGUAAUCUAAGGCUAGAGUUAGUAGUCUUGUUGAUAUCAUCAGUUGUAGUAAAUUGAUGAGUUUUGAGUCUUUAAUAGGAUAGAUUAUGAGUUGUGAUAUUUUCUAUUAUUGAACGUUGUGAGUCUAAGUAAUAAGAAGUGGGUUUGACUUCUUAUUCUUGGGGUGUUGUAACAAGAAGCGGGUUUAACUUCUUGUUUGUGAGGUGUUGUAACAAGAAGCGAGUUUGACUUCUUGGAGUGCUCAUAUAGUGGGUUGAACAGUUGUAGUAAACUGUUGAGUUGUGAGUUUAGAGUUAGGUUCUAGGAUUGCGGGGUUCUAAUCUUGAACAAAGCUUUUUGAAAUUAGUGGACAUUGGAGGUGAAAUCCUACACAGUGUAGGUCAUGAUUUUUUACUCCCUUGAGCAAGGAGUUUUCCACGGUAAAUUUGCAUUGCACUUUAUUUUACUGUUUGCAGUCUACUGAAAUAUCAGAAACUAGGUUCCUGAUACGUGUGGUGGGAUUAGUUAAUUUUCUACACAUAAUCUAGGGGAUUCUCAAUUAAUUUAAACAUGUUCAAAAGCAAGCUAAGAUUAUACCGCCUUGGCAUUUGAAAUUAAGAAAUUAUCCUUGAAGCUUAAAAGCUAGCUCAAAGAAUUUAAUAUUUUUUCCAACAUUAGUGGGGCGCCUAGGCUAUGCCGAGCCGUGGCCAGACCGCAGCGGGCAUCGUCCCUAACCAUCAAGGCCCCAGAGACCCUUGUAACAGCCCAACCUACUAGUGAUAUUGUCCGCUUUGGGCCCAGGCCCACACGACUUUAAAAUGCGCAACUAGAGAGUAAGGCUUGACACAGGAUCGACUCUGAUUCCAUUCUUGUCACUACCCGAGCCGGGGACUUGGCCGCGACGGGCAUCCCUAACCACCAAGGCCCGAGAAACCCCUGUAACAGCCCCACCCACUACUGAUAUUGUCUACUUUGGGCCCAAACCAGUAAGGCUUUAAAACGCAUCACAAGAAAGUAAUAUUCGCUUACUUAUAUACCCAGCAUCCCUCCUGUGUUUUGCCGUUAUGGGACUCCUUAUCCUAAGUUGGGGUGUUACACGUUUCCAGUAAGAUUUUUUCCAUACUCAGGGGUCGAACCCUAGACCUCUAAUCAAGGGUGCAAUAGUUCCAUCACUACGCCACAACCCAGGUUGAUUCUUUGGAAAACUUAAUUAUUGCAUUGUUCAUUUGUUGUAUUUCCUGGAAUAUUGUUGUAUGCUUAUUAAAGGUUAGACAGUUUUAAUAGUAAUUAAUCAUAUUGGAUUAAUUAUAAUUAGCACUAAAAACUACAAUUAAAAAACUUACACUCAAGCACUGCUAGUGAAGACUCAACCAGUUCCCUUGCAAUAACCUCUGAUGAUAUAAUUAGAAGAACCAAAGAAAAAAUAAUUAAAACAUUUGCCUUGAGUGCCAUUUUGGAUUCAAUAAUAAAAAUACUUAAUUUAUGGAUGAUCAAAUAAUAUUAUCUUCUUUCCUAUUUAUAGAUAGUUUAAAAGAUUUGGCUUACCAAACUUUUAAAAAUAGUGAAACUUCACAUGAUGAAUUUCCUUAUACUUUAGUCGCCAACUCUUCAAAUUUGUUAAUUCUUUUCCUUUACCUACUUUUUUUUUUUCACCUAGUGUUCGGUGUACGCGUUGAGGCCUCGACUAAUUUAGAUCACGCAUUGCAGUGCUUAUUCUGAGGAUAGUGCUCCCAACAGAAUUUUCUUCAUACCCAGAGCUCGAAACCGAAACGUUGGUCAAUACUAUACCACCUAUUUUAAUUUGAUGAACAAACACAUAGUAUAUGUUACUUGACACUUAUCGACUUAACACACUCCUAAGAAAAUUUUAAUUAGAAAUUUAUUUUACUAAAUUAAUUUUAUUAAUGAUACUUUUGAACUCCAAAUUUUAGUUAUACUACCACCCUAUAUAUGCUCUUUUUUGAAAACAUCAACAUAAACAUACACCUUAACUUUUCAUAUUUGCACCGAUUCCCACCCUGCAAAGUAAUUACAAGAAUUCCAACGAUAUAUCAGGAGCUUAUUAUGUAUCUUGACAGAUCUAAAAUCGGAAAAAUGUAUCAAAAAUUAAUUUUGUAUCUUUACAAAGGAAAAAAUAUAUCUUCAUUUGAUGUAUUGUGUAUCUCAACAGACUCGAAUUAAAAAAGUAUAUCAGGAGCUGAUUAUAUAUCUUUACAAAGGAAAAAAUGUAUCUUCGUUGGAUGUAUCGGGAGUUAAUUAUGUAUCUCGAUAGAUCUAAAAUUAUUUUUUUCAGUAAUUAUAUAAAAUAUUAAAAAAAAAUUGUAAUUAAACUUCAAGCUAUUGGAAUUUAUGUUGUUUGCUCUUAUUUUUUUUUUUUUUUGGGGGGGGGGGGGGGGGUGGUGGUAGCUAUAGGAUUUAUUUGUAUGCACAUAUUAUAUUAGUGCGAUUAAACUAGCACCUAAAUUUUAAACCCCAAUAAAUAGCCACUCGGAAAACUAAUUUCAACCGAAUAGCCACUCGGGAAACUAAUUCCAACCGAAUGGUCAUUGUUUUGGUACUUCACAAUAGAUGUUGUGUAAUUAUUUUUUAAGGAUUUCAUGUUGAAUUUUGUUUUCUUUUAUUUUUUUAUCAAGGGAGAAUUCCACUUUUCUUUUGUUUUCAUGUGAGCACUUGUAUUAAUGUUUUUUUUUUUUCUCCUUUUCUUUUUUAUAGAUUCUACUUAUUUUUAUUCUUUUUAAACAAUUGAAUAAUUUUUUUUUCUUCAGAUUAUUUUGCAUUCACCAACAUUAUUAAAAUAACAUACUAAUUGUUUUAUUUAGUUUUACUUAUUUAUACAAUAAAAUACAAUAUCAUAUACUUUUAAUAUAAUACAGUUGUUAAAGAUAUAUAUUUAUAUAUAAUAAUGAUACAGUUUCUAUACAUAUACAUAUUCUAUAUAAUAAUUCUAGCAUUUUUAUACAUAUUUUAUACAAUUUUUAAUUACAAUUAUUAUUUAGAUACAUAUUUUAUAUGACUUUAUAUAGUUUCUACAUGCAUUCUAAAAAUGUAUCAAUCUAAUAUAAGAGAGUAUCAAUUGAGUAUAUAGACACUGUAAGUGUAUCAACGUAUUAUAAAAGUGUAUUAAUGUGGUAUAAAAGAAUAUCAAUUGGGUCUAGAGACUGCAUGUGCUUGCAUUGAAUUUCCUUUCUCUUUUUUAAAAAGUGUAUCAAUAUAAUAUAAAAAGUGUAUCAAUUGAGUAUACAUACUGCAUGUGCCCAAUAUUGGGCCGAAUGGCUAAAAAAGGAUAUUAAAUUGGGGAAAAAAUAAAAUAUACAUCCUUAGAUUGUAUAUUGCAAGUCAUAUCAAUACUUCUUGAAUUGAAUUGCAACUAAUACCAAUUUCUGAAUAAAAAAACAAAGAAAAAUUAUCUUUUUAAUGAAAAAAAAUUCAUAAAAUAAAGCAGUUUGUUAUUAAUAGGUGGAUAUCCAUCAUACCUUAAUAUCUCUCUCCUCUUAAUUUUUUUUUCUUUAUUUUUUCCCUAAUUUGUUAGUGCAUAAUUUCACAAUUCACUUUCACUAAAUACACAACUCUCUCUUCCUCUUUUCAUUCUAUUUUAUUCUAUACUUUUGCAGAUAUAUUUUUUCAAAAUAGUGAUUUCAUCUUUUUACCAAAAUAUUCUUUCUUACUUUUUUAUUAUUGAAAAAUUAGAUGUAUCACCAUUUUUUUUAUAAUUCUUGAUUAUAUUUUUUCCUAGUAUGAAAGAUGACAGUUUUCAUUCAACCUUAAUUUAAUAUGAAAGUAAAUGAGAUAAAAUCCUGUAUGAAAUGGAUAUAUAAACUGAUAUUAAUUAAAUUAAGUAUCACAAUUCAUAUAUAUUAGUUUGUAUAUCCAUCACAUACACCUUACAUACAAUUGUGAUAUAUAAGAAAUUACUUUAUAAACCAAUUUCAUUCAAUUUAUAAUCUAAAGUAUAUAUUCUUAACUGAAUAUCACAAUCCAUAAAGUUGGUAGAUGACUUGGUAUAAAAAAAUAAGUAAAAAAAUUUGUAUAUCUAUACCAUUCAUCUAAAAAUAAAAUCAAGCAUUUGUAUAUAAGAUGUUAUUAAAUAUAUAAAAGUUAUUCAAAAGAAAAGGAUAUAACAAUUCAUUAUUAUCUAGAUUUUAUAUAUUAAUCGUUCGAAAAUUUCAUUAAAAUAUCUGUCUUCUUCUUUCUACAAAAAUCAGAAAUCAAAUUCUGAGUGAAACCCAAUAUUAUUCAAAUUUUUUUAUCUUAAUCAUUAAUUUUUUUUAUUAAAAUACAAAUUUACAUAUUUUGAUUGCAACAUUGAAAAAUGUAUUAUUCAGAUUUUUGACUUUUAUUUCAAUAUCAUUUUCAUGCAUUAAAAAUAUUAAUAAGUAUGCAUCAUUUCUUAUAUAUCAUUUUACAUUUCAAUUUUAUAGAUCAAAAUUCAAAAAUAAAAAAUCAUUUUAUAUAUGAUGUUGGUAUAUAACAUGAUUUAAAAAAUUAAAUGAAAUGUAAUCAUAUAAAAAGUUUGGGUAUAAACCUACUUAUUAAAUAAAUUUACAUUAUUUAUUAUGGCAUUUUUUAUAUGAAUUACAUACACUGAGACCCCAAUAAGAAGUACCAUUUAGUAAAUGAGAUGAAUAUGUAAUUAUUUAGUUAUCAUUUUUUAUUAGCAGAUUUUUUUUGUAUCAGUUUCAUAAUUAAGGUAGAUGUAUUAUUUUUGGAAAAAAAUCUUAAACCAAUAAAGUAGAGAUAGAGGAAAAUAAUGAAUAGUUGAGACUAUAAAUUAAUGCUAUUUUUUCAGAAUGGAAAGAAAUGUGUAGUAAUAAAUGAUUAGAAACAGUAGAAAACUUUCAGAUUAAAUAAGUUAUUUAGUUUAUUUUUACUCCAUAAAAAUAUGGUAAUUUAUGUGAGUGUGAAAGAUAACAUACAAAUUUAGGAGAUAUUUUAAUUGAUAUAUAUCCAAUAAACAAAUUAUAAAAAAAAAAAAUUUUUUAAAUAUUUUUUUUGAAAACUGCUACAACUUGCAAUUAAAAACACAAUUCAAUAAUUAUCAAAAAGUAUUGCUACAACUUGCAAUAAAUUAUCUAAAAAAUAUAUAAAGGAUAAUUUUCACUAUUAAAUUGGGUUGACUGGCCAAGAUUGUCCACCUUUUCAAUUAUGAGUCAUUUUUUAAAAAAUAGUCAGCCCAUGUCCUUUCCCCCUUUUUUCUAAAAAUUACACAACUACAUAACUUAUGUUUCUAAUAUUACAAAAAAUUUCAACUCCCUAAACAUAUUAUAAAAAUUCCAACAUAUACACAGAAUGUUAUGAAUAUGUCGGCUAUGUUGUGCAUAUUAAUAGGGAGAGAGAGUAAAGUAAUUAAAAAAGUAGGAGAGAAUACUUCAAUAUUUAUGUUAUUUAUACUUUUUUCUAAAAAUUCCUAAAUUUUGGCUUAAAACCCAAUUGAACGUUUCCUUUUAUAGCCCAAAUAACGUUAUGGACUAAUUAACAAAGAGAAUUUAAAUAAUGACCACUUAGCCAUUGCACAAAUGGCCCAUUUCGGCGUUUCGCACACCAAUUGAAAUCGAACCACCGCCUUCUGUAUUUUCCAUCAAUUGCUUCUUUGUUAGUUCUGUUUUGCCGCCAUCCAAGGGUUCUGUUUUCAGAUUUAAAGGUUCAAAAAUUGAGGUAAGUUUUAGUUAUAUAUAUAUAUAUAUAUAUACAUACUGUUUCAGAAGUGUUUUUAAGAUGCAGUAGAAAAUAAUUUUCUUUGAUGCAUUAGAAAAAAAUGCAGUUGGUGUUAGUUUCACAUGAUUAUAUUCAAUUUGUACAUUGAUGCACUGAAUGUAUUUGAUAAUAUGCCCAAAUCAAUUGAUUUUUUUUAACUGUUUCGCUUUUGACAAUGAAUUCUGCAACUUCUUACAUUAGUAGACUUGGACUCCGGGCUCCAUGGAAUAUUGAAUUGAAAUAAUAUAAUGUGAUUAAAGUACAAAAACAUGAUUUUUGGUGCUUAGUAUUAAGUUUAUCUAAAUGGUAGCUUGAUUCGGGUAAAAGAUUUCAACUUUGUUUGUUUUUUGCAAGUUCCUUGGUAUCUUGUAAUGGAAACUUUGUCCAUUUUUUUCAUUUUUCUUUUUUGAGGUUUUGGUUUGAAUUGAAUUCAUAUCAUGUGCUUUCAUGAUUUUUGAUACAUAAUAUUAAGUUAACUUCUUUGCCCCAUGAGAUAACCAUUUAGCAUUCAAAAGUAGCAGUGAGGUUGCUGAAUUUUCCAUGUACACUCUUUUUCCUAGCUUUGUAGGACUCUAGCCUUCAUGUAGCUGCAUUCUAUGCUCUUACUUUUUUGCCUCCCGAGAUAUCACUUUCAUAUUAGAAAGCAACAAUGAACAUUUUGCUGAAUUUUCCAUAUACAUUCAUUUUCUAUCUUUGUAGGACUCCAGCCCCUUGAUAUAGCCGUGUUCCAUGCUUUUUAGCCUAGUAAUUCAGCUGGAAGUCCAAAUAUUUGAGUUACUUUACCUCAAGCUGAUUAGAACCAAUUUGUUACUCAGGAAUGCUUUCAAUGUUUGCCAGAAUCUUUCUUCAAAGGACUUCAAAGUCGUCUGCAUUCACCAACAGUGCCAGCACGUUUAGGUGUCUUAAAACUAUAGCACCUUCCAUUGACCAGUGCAGCAAUCCUUUCAGCAGCAAAGGUAGUUGUGGCAGAAGUGUGUCUAAUGAUGACUACUUUGCCACAAUCCAUCACAUAUCUAACAUUGUUCGACGAGAUAUUUACCUGGAGCGGACCCUUAACAAGAUGCAUAUUUCAAGUAUUGUUAACUCUGAACUGGUGUACCGUGUCCUUCGAAGUUGUUGCCAACAGGGUAUUGAAUCAUUUCGCUUCUUUAACUGGGCUCGGACUCAAAACCCUCAGUAUGAUCCAACUACCGUCGAGUUUGAGGAACUUCUUAAGACCCUUACCCGGACUGCCCAUUGGGAAACAAUGUGGAAAGUAGUCCAGCAGAUGAAAGCCCAAAAUAUUCCUAUCUCACCCUCCAUUGUUUCAUUCAUUAUUGAACACUAUGGUAAGCGUGGUCUGAUUGAUCAGGCGGUCGAGCUCUUCAAUCGGCUCAAGAACUUUGACUGUCCACAAACCACCGAAGUAUACAAUGCUAUGCUUUUCGCGCUCUGUGAGGUCAAGAAUUUCCAAGGGGCCUAUGCAUUGAUUCGGAGGAUGAUACGAAAAGGUACUGUUCCAGAUAAACAGACAUAUUCUAUUCUUGUAAAUGGCUGGUGUUCUGCAGGGAAGAUGAGAGAGGCACAAGAGUUCUUGGAGGAAAUGAGUCGAAAGGGAUUCAAUCCUCCUGUACGUGGGAGGGACCUUCUAAUUGAUGGGUUGCUCAAUGCUGGUUAUCUAGAAUCAGCUAAGGGAUUGGUGAGAAAAAUGACAAAGGAGGGGUUUGUGCCAGAUGUUGGAACAUUCAAUUCUUUGGCAGAGGCUAUAUGUAAAGCUGGGGAAAUCGACUUUUGCAUUGAGCUUUUCAAUGAUGUUUGUAGAUUGGGGCUUUGUCCUGAUAUUGAGACUUAUAAGAUUGUCAUAAGUGCUGCAUCAAAGGUAGGUAGGAUCGAUGAGUCAUUUCAGAUUCUUCAUAGGUCAAUUGAAGAUGGACACCGGCCAUUUCCCAGUUUAUAUGCUCCAAUUCUAAAAGCUUUCUUCCGGAGAGGACAGUUUGAUGAUGCAUUUAGCUUUUUCAGUGAUAUGAAGCUGAAAGGGCAUCCACCAAAUCGACCACUUUAUACCAUGCUGAUAAAGAUGUGCGCUCGUGGAGGUAGAUUUGUAGAGGCUGCUAAUUAUUUAGUAGAAAUGACCGAGUUAAAUCUGGUGCCUAUAUCACGAAACUUUGAUAUGGUCACAGAUGGAUUGAAGAAUUGUGGGAAGCACGAUCUAGCCAAAAAGAUCGAGCAGUUGGAGAUAUCUAUUAAGGGCAUCUAAAUUAUUGUUGGCUCUUGCUCAAGUGUUCCCCCUAUCACUGCGCUCGAGGAUGAUUAGAGUCCUAAAGUUGAAAAAGGUAGCUUUUUUGCUUUACUUGCUUUUCUCUAAAUCGGGAAAUUAAGAAUAUCCCGAUACUUUGUUUGCUUAUUUUCGUCUAAUUUGUUGAUUUCAAAACCUAUUAUUUGUACUAAUUCUAAGCUGAUUUUUACUUUGUUGAUCAGGAUCUACACUGAAUUUUUAUUUCAGGAUAGUUGUUUGGUAAAAAUGUCAAUCAUCUUAUUUGUCUUCUGCAAUAUAUAGGUCUUUUAGACCAGUCUUAAAAACUCACUCUUCUAUGCAAACUAAAGAUAAUUCUGAUAAAAUGUAAAACGGCAAUCUAAAAUUUUUAGGUCAUUGGUCAGGCUGGUAUUCAGGUCGGAAAUGCUUGCUGGGAACUUUACCGUCUCGAGCACGGCAUUCAGCCAGAUGGCCAGAUGCCAAGUGACGACUGUCGGAGGAGGUGAUGAUGCAUUCAACACCUUCAGCGAAACUGGAGCUGGAGAGCAUGUCCCAAGAGCUGUCUUUGUGGAUCUUGAGUCCACUGUCAUUGAUGAAAUGAGGACAGGAACAUACCGCCAGCUCUUCCACCCUGAGCAGCUGAUAAGUGGCAAAGAAGAUGCAGCCAACAACUUUGCCCACGGCCACUGUACCAUUGGGAAAGAGAUAGUUGAUCUCUUCCUGGAUCGCAUCCAUAAGCUUGCAGACGACUGUACUGGUUUUCAAUUCUGUUGGUGGUGGUACUGGUUCAGGUCUGGGGUCACUGCUGCUGUAGCGCCUCUCAGUUGAUUAUGGAAAGAAGUCCAAACUUGGUUUCACAAUUUAUCCCUCACCACAGGUCUCAAUUUCUGUUGUUAAGCCUUACAACAGUGUCCUGUCAACUCACUCCCUUCUUGAGCAAACUGAUGUAUCAAUCCUUUUGGAUAAUGAAGCCAUUUAUGACAUCUGCAGGCGUUCAUUGGACAUUGAGCGUCCUACCUACACCAACCUUAACCGCCUCAUCUCACAGGUUAUAUCUUCUCUGACAGCUUCUUUGAGGUUUGAUGGUGCUCUCAAUGUUGAUGUGAAUGAAUUCCAGACCAAUCUCGUCUCCUAUCCCAGGAUCCAUUUUAUGCUUUCCUCUUACGCCCGUCAUUUCUUCUGAGAAGGCCUAUCAUGGGCAGCUUUCAGUUGCAGAGAGAUCACCAAUAGUGCAAAAGGAUGCUUUCCUCUCGCCAUGCCAAGUACAUGGCUUGCUGUCUCAUGUUCCGUGGUGAUGUGGUGCCAAAGGCUGUUAAUGCUGCUGCUGUGGCCACCAUCCAAUUUGUUGAUUGGUGCCCCACAGGAUUCAAGUGUGGUAUCAACUAUCGGCCACCCACUGUUGUACCUGCUGGUGACCUUGCUAAGGUGCAGAGGGCUGUGUGCAUGAUUUCCACCUCUACCAGUGUUGCUGAGGUCUUCUCACGAAUUGACCACAAAUUUGAUCUUAUGUAUGCUAAGCGUGCUUUUGUGCAUUGGUAUGUUGGUGAGGGCAUGGAGGAAGGGGAAUUCAGUGAAGCCCGUGAAUAUCUUGCUGCCCUUGAGAAGUUGGUGCUGAAGGCGAUAAUGAGUAGUACUGAGCAAUGAUGUAGUCUCUUUUUAUUUUCUUCAGUUACUCGUCUUUAUGUUGCACUACUGAAGACACAGUGUGUGUUGAAUUGUGGUAUCAAAAGAUGUGUUUGUUUUGAGUUAAAAAAAAAGUCAUUGCAAAGGUUAGAAGAUAAUCUAACAUCGUGCAUAAAACUCUACAAAUAUAUGAGCGAACAUUAAAUUCAAAUUUAAUAUUAUCCGAAAGAAUAAUUUUUCGAAGACUAUAUAUUUGCACAACUUAAAAAAAAAAACACAACAUAAUGCACAUGCCAUAUUCUGCCCUUCACACACCCCCAUUUCCUAGAACUAUACGGGUUAUUAGUAUAUUUACCCGACUAUUUUUUUUUUUUUAAUAAAACUUACAUAAAUUUCAACAAAUUUAUUCCUAAUUACUCCGUAUAUCUACUUUUUACUAAAUUAUAAAUAAUUUCGAAUGUAUAAUUAGCAUCCAGAUACAUAAUUUUAAAGUUGAGAUACAUAAUUUUGAACUUAAUUAAGAAUGUAAUUAUUAAUUAAUUCAUUUUUGUUCGGAUACAUAAUUUUCAGAGAUAGAGAUACAUAAUUUUGAUUACUAAGAUACAUUCAUUUCUGAAACUAUAUGAUCGAGAUACAUAAUACAUUAAUUAGACCAAAUGGGAUAUACAUAAUUAUGUAUGUGAAAAUUUAUGGGCUUGUGGAUGUAUCCAGUUGUUUUUUGAAAAAAAUAAGAGAUUUAGGUAAUUAAUAAAAAAGCCAGAUAUUAUAUGCAAUUUUAAAAAGAUAAAUUAUGUUGAUAUUUAUUUAUUUUUAAAUUUUUUCUUUUUGAGUAUUUAUGUUAAUUUUCCUUGGCGGUAAAUCACCUCAAACCAUGGGCUUGUUAUUACAUUAGGCCCAAAACUAAAAUCUUCGGGUUAAACCCAAAUAAAAACCCAAAAUCUCUCUUCUCUUCUCUACUAGUCUUAAAAUUACAGUUAUAACCAAAAAGAAAAAAAAAAAAAACAGCUCAAAAUCUUCAGCUUAUUAUAGUAUUUUUUUUUCUCAAUAUAGAAAAACAAAUAUUCAGUUUUCUAAGCAAUUAAUCAAAUGUCACAAUUUUGGAAACCAGGAAGUGAAAGGCCUCGACUUGUUGAUGAUGAAGAAGGUGGCGUUCUUCUCUACGCUACCUCUUCUUCCUCCUCUUCCUCAGGGUAAUUUUUACUUUUUUUUUGUUUUUUUUUUGCGUAUACAUAUUUUAUUUAGACACUUGAACUAAGUCUUGUUCCAAUUAAAUUGCGCCAAUUAUACACUUUGCAUUUAAAUAUUGAAAAAAAAUAAUUGUGCGUGUUAUAAUUCAUCUAUUAAAUAGUUAAGUUAGCCACGUAAAAUAUGAUUAUGUCAUUUAUUUUAAUCAUAGGCAAUGGGAUUUUAUGGCUUAUUUAGGCGAAUUCAUAUAGUUAAAAGAAAAUGACAUGCUUAAUGUGUUUUAAGCUUAACUAUCUAACAGACGAAUGAGAACAUAUGCAAAAAAAAUUCAAAAAUUUGAAUGGAAAAUGUCUAUCGGAAUACUUUAUUAGGAGUUGAGAUGUUUAAUUGAAAUAGGAUGUAGUUCGAGUGUCUAGAUGCAAUAUUCAACAAGUUUAAGGGGCUGUUUUUGUGUUAAAUAUUGAGAAAAAAAGAAUUACACGUGUUUUAAUUGAUCGAUUAGAUAGUUAAGUUAACCACGUAAAAUAUGAUUAUGUCAUUUAUUUUAGUUAUAGACAAUGGGAUUUUACAGCUUAUUUAGGCGAAUUCGUAUAGUUAAAAGAAAAUGCAUGCUUAAUGUGUUUUAACUUAACUAUCUAACAGUCGAAUGAGAACAUAUGCAGAAGAAUUUCAAAGUUUGAAUGGAAAAUGUCUAUCGGAAUACUUUAUUAGGAUUUGAGAUGUUUAAUUGAAAUAAGGCGUAGUUCGAGUGUCUGGAUGGAACAUUCAGGCAAGUUUAAGGGGCUGUUUUUGUGUUAAAUGUUGAAAAAAAAAAAGAAUUGCACGUGUUUUAAUUGAUAUGAUAUGUCAUUUAUUUUAAUCAUAGGCAAUGGGAUUUUACGGAUUAUUUAGGCGAAUUCAUAUAAUUAAAAGAAAAUAACAUGCUUACUGUGUUUUGAAUUAACUAUCUAACAGACGCAUGAGAACAUAUGCAGAAGAAUUUCAAAAAUUUGAAUGGAAAAUGUCUAUCGGAACACUUUAUUAGGAGUUGAGAUGUUAAUUGAAACAGGGUGUAGUUCGAGUGUCUAGAUGGAAUAUUCAGACAAGUUUAAGGGGCUGUUUUUGUGUUAAAUAUUGAAAAAAAAGAAUUGCACUUUAAUUGAUCUAUUAGAUAGUUAAGUUAACCACGUAAAAUAUGAUAAUGUCAUUUAUUUUAAUCAUAGGCAAUAGGAUUUUAUGGUUUAUUUAGGUGAAUUCAUAUAGGUAAAAGAAAAUGACAUGCUUAAUGUGUUUUAACUUAACUAUCUAACAGGCGAAUGAGAACAUAUGCGGAAGAAUUUCUAAAAUUUGAAUGGAAAAUGUCUAUCGGAAUACUUUAUUAGGAGUUGAGAUGUUUAAUUGAAACAGGGUGUAGUUCGAGUGUCUAGAUGGAAUAUUCAGGCAAGUUUAAGGGGCUGUUUUUGUGUUAAAUAUUGAAAAAAAAAGAAUUGCACUUUAAUUGAUCUAUUAGAUAGUUAAGUUAAUCACGUAAAAUAUGAUAAUGUCAUUUAUUUUAAUCAUAGACAAUGGGAUUUUACGGCUUAUUUAGGCGAAUUCAUAUAGUUAAAUGAAAAUAACAUGCUUAAUGUGUUUUAACUUAACUAUCCAACAUACGAAUGAGAACCUAUACAAAAAAAUUUCAAAAAUUUGAAUGGAAAAUGUCUAUUGGGAAUACUUUGUUAGGAGUUGAGAUGUUCAAUUGAAAUAUAACUUAGUUUGAGUGUCUAUAGAAUAUUCUAGCUGGUUAUGUGUUAAACCAUUUUUUUUGCGUAUACAUAUUCCAUUUAGACACUCGAACUAAGUUUUGUUCCAAUUAAGGUGUGCCAAUUAGACACUAUGCAUUUAAAUAUUGAAAAAAAAAGAAUCGCAUGUGUUUUAAUUAGUUAAGUUAACCACAUAAAAUAUGAUAUGACAUUUAUUUUAAUCAUAAGGCAAUGGGAUUUUACGGCUUAUUUAGGCGAAUUCAUAUAGUUGAAAGAAAAUGACAUGCUUAAUGUGCUUUAACUUAACUAAACGUAUGCAAAAAUUGGAACACUUUAUUAGGAGUUGCUUAGUUCAAUUGAACUAUAGCUUAGUUCGAGUGUUUAUGGAAUAUUCUAGCUUGUUAUGUGUUAAGCCAUCUUUUUUUUGUAUAUGUUGUUAUUUAUGUAAUUUUAUGUGAUUUCAAGAUUUGGGUAUGGGAGUUUAGAGAAGCAAAGGCAAAGGCUGCCUGUGUACAAGUACAAAACUGCUAUUCUUUACUCAGUGGAGACUCAUGCUACUACCAUUAUUGUUGGAGAAACUGGAAGUGGAAAAACCACCCAAAUUCCUCAGGUUAGUGUUCUUGGUUUUAUGUAAAGUUUUUUUUUUUUCCUCCGGAAACAGCCUCUCUACCUCUCCGAGGUAGUGGUAAGGUCUGUGUACACUCUAUCCUCCUCAGACUUCACUUGUAGAAAUUUACUGGUACGUUGUUGUAUGUUAAUUUUCUAUUUUUUAUAUUUUUAGUACGAUGUGAAAUGUCCUCCUUGGUAGAAUAUCUGAUUAAUCAAAUGUUUGACAGUCUUGAACUUGUUGGGGUCGGCUAUAUGAAUCUACAGUCCUCGAUAUUAGUUGUAUCUUUAGUAUUCAGAUGUUUCAUAAUAGUUAGACUAUUUUGCAUUUGAUCAGCACCCUUCUUCCAUUAUCCGGGACUAUGGCGGAGCUAUGAAUUUAAUCUGGGAUUCAAAAUAUAAAGAAGAAAAUACACGAAGAAGCCAUGAGAUCUCAACAAAUAGUAUAUGUACGUAAAAAAGAAAAAGAUUGGCCUAUCUACACAGUGUAGGUGUCAGUUGACUCGCCUUGGAAAAAGGUUUUAAUAAGAGGAUUCAAGAAUAUGCAUGAAUGCAUCUUUGUCACUACAGCUUCACUUAUAUCAAGUGGAUUCAAAAACUUAUAUACACAAGAAAAGAUUUACUCUUUUUACACAAUAUAAUUUUCUAACAAACUUCCUUAUAUUUGGUUUUGGGGGAGGUUUUUUUUGAAGCAUGUGAUGUGAUACUUACUACUCUCUCCAUCUCAAUUUAUGUGAGGUAGUUUGAUUCAACAUGAAGUGUAAGAAAGAAAGAAAGACUUUUGAAACUUGUGGUUUAAAACAAGUUAUAGAUAUUUGUAUGACUAUAAAUCAUUCCAUUAAGGGUAAAAUGGACAUUUUAAAGUCAAAUUGUUACUAAAGUAGAAACGUGUCGUUCUUUUUGGGACUGAUUAAAAAGGAAAGCGAGUCAUAUAAAUUGAGAUACAGGGAGUAAUAAUUUUUAGUUGUGAAGAGUGGAAGUAAUAUGUCGGUAGGAGCAAGAGAUAUAUAGAGGGAGAAAACGACUUAGCCUCAUAAUGCAGUAAAUUGUUUUCCCCUUGGUUUAAAAUUCUCUAAUUGUUUUGGCAACCAAACAUUAUAAAUAAUUUUACCAAAAAACGGUUUUUUUAUGAAACAUAUUAGUGUCAAGUGGAGCCAUAGUUGUAGUAUCUGUAUUCUUUGUCUAGAAGAUGUGAAUGAACAUCUCGUUUUAGUUUGUUUAGAGAAUUGAACUCUUCUAGUAACUGGAGAAGUUUAAUGGUACUUGGUACAUUUUGAUGUGUGCAGUACCUGAAAGAAGCUGGUUGGGCUGAGGGAGGGCGCAUGAUAGCUUGCACUCAACCAAGGAGACUGGCCGUCCAGGUGCAGUAUUCAGUUCCAGACCUCUAUAUGCUCUUUAAUAAGUGAAUUUCUGUGUCUUCUUAUAUGUUUGUCUUGGUAUCUUUCUAAAUCAAGAGUAAAUGCAAGUAGUAUGGAUGGGUGCUUGUGAGGGACAGAUAUAUUUGUACUUGUAACUUUGUUUUUGAGACUCCCCUGGAUACUUGUAUAUACAGUUAAAGUUUUCUGUAGUUACUCUACUUUCUUGGUCACGAAAACGAAAAUUUCUACUGUUGACAUCUUCUUGGCCCAAACAUAUGAUAUUGAAGAUCAACACAAACAUCCUGCUCAUAAUCUUUUGGAUCACAAUGUUCCUUAUGGUUCAGUUAUUUUGAAACGCAUCUUUCAAGUCUCAAUCUAUUAUGGUGCAGGCAGUUGCUACAAGAGUUGCCGAAGAAAUGGAUGUUAAACUUGGUGAGGAAGUUGGUUAUACUAUUCGAUUUGAAGAUAUCACGAAUGAGGUGGGAGCUCUUUCUUUGUACUUACCAUUUUGUUGGGAUAAAGGAAAUAAUCUUUUGCUUCAUUAUAGGUAUUUUUAGAGUUCAUAAGUUCCUAAAAGAGCAGAUAAAUCUUUUGACAUCUGCUGGGAUUGCAUAUUUCAAGGUGUUAGGUCUUAUGAUAUUUUGUCCAGGAAAGAAAUUUAGUUUUUUAGUGCUGCGUGACAAUGUUGACCUGGAAUAGUAAUGGUGGUGUUCUUGCACUACAGGAAUUAACUAGGGUCAAAUUUCUUACUGAUGGAGUUCUGCUGAGGGAAAUGAUGGAUGAUCCUCUGUUGAGUAAGUAUAGGUACUGUUUAUGCCUUGGAAGGGUUCGACUGCCUCCUUUUCUAUUUUCUUCAUCAUGUAGUACUACUUUCAUUCUAUUAUUUACGCCCUCGUUCUUGACUUUUGAGCUUCAUGAAAUUCAAGUGUCAAUCAUUUCAAUGUUUAUUGGUAUAUUGUAUUUGGUAGAGAUGACUAAUUUUUUUUAAAAAAAUGGCCUGCCUGUUGCAUUAAAGCUCCAGCUAUGCAGGGGUCCGGGGAAGGGCCGGACCAUAAGAUGUCACAUCAAAUUGGAACUAAUGUAAAGUGCACAGAUUAUAGCGUAAAUCAUUUCAAUGUUUAUUAGUUUGAAUUGUUUCAUCCAAGGGCAUGACCUAGUUGUCAAUGAAGUGGGUGAGAAUCAUGGGAGACAAGGUUCAAAUUCUAGCAAAGAUUAAAAUGCUAGGUGAGUUCUUAGUUCUUUCAAGCAUUGGUGGACAGAGUUACCCCUUACGUAUGUAGGAGGUAGCAAGUCCCCGAUGAAAUAGUCGAGAUGGGGCAGGCUGCCCGAGUACCACCGUUUCAAAAAAAGUAUUAGUAUGAAUUGUUGGAGUGGAAAUUUUGCCAUUCUAUGAAAGAGGUCAAAGCUAUAGAAUGUACUAAACUAGGAAGUUGGUCAACAAAAGGGACAAAAGGAUUACAGUUUUUCAUUGGUUGCGUCACUGAUCCAGUUUAUCAUGCAUGUGUUGUUGGGCUCUUACACUGAUCCAAAAGUUAAGAUGUGACCUGCAGUGGUAUAAGUGUCUAUUGUCUAGAAUCUUGUUUGUUCUUCUCACAAUUCAAGAGCUACAAAUGAUGUAGCCAGGUUGAGGUUCCAUAAAAUGCAACUAGAUGCUAUUGGGAUUGAUCGUCUAGAUUCUAUCUCGCAGGGAACUCCUUGAGAUUAAGCUCUGGUUGGGGUGAAUUUUUGUAUUUUAUAGUUAUGGCUAACUUUAGACCUAUAAUUUGCAAGUGCAAAGAUAAAUUGAUGCCAUUAGUAGGAGUUGUGUUGUUAGAGGCCUAUCCUGCGCAUUGCUAAGAGCUGAAGCUAGGUGCAGCAGGGUUUAGGGGUUCGUCUCUCUUAGUUCACUCAUUAUUACUAAAACCAAGGUGGUAAAGUUUGUGCUGAGUGCUCAGAUGUGCUAUCUUGAUAGGGCAACACUUAACAAUUAACAUAGUUGUCAAAGUGAUAUAUUAAUUGUUAAGGAAGCAUUAUGGAUGACAAUGUUAGUGAUUUGUAAUAGGAAAUCAGAAAUUUAAUAUAAGAAAAUUGUUCACUAUUCUGAAAAAAACUUAAAAUUAUCAAAUUCACAAAGCAAUAUUAUUUUGGACUUGAUUAACAUGUUUAUUUUUACAUGUCUCACCUGAUUGCAAAAAUUUCAAUUUCUUAGACCAAAUGACCCUUUUUUGUAUUUUAAAUUAUCUUUCUUGUGUUACAUGUUUGUAUGUGGACAUACACUUUUUAUAUUUCGGGGAUCUUUUUCAUAAUGCACAUGAUGGUUGCUCUUAGAAUUGCUCAAGCACUUGUCUCUUUAUUAUGCUUUUUUCCUUUCACAACACUCACCUGUCCUGAAAGCCGUCUUAAUUUUGAAGUAGUCUGAUUUCUUUCCUAAAAAUCACACGUGCGUAUGAAAUUAAUCCACUUUCUACUUCUAGCAGAUAUUAAAAAUUUCUGUACUGUUUGGAGAAAAUUGUAUCUGAUUUGUCUUUCUAAUCAUGCAGUGUGAUUAUGGUAGAUGAAGCUCAUGAAAGGUCUCUCUCAACGGACAUCUUAUUGGGACUACUGAAAAAGGUCGAUCAGGAAGUAAUCUGUACUGGUCUUUGUAUUUUCUUUUCAUUUAAGUGCCCUUAGUUUAGUUCUUGUCUCUUAAAAUGUUAACUUUUUCUAUGGCUUCUGCAAAUUUAGAUUCAAAGGCGUCGCCCUGAACUGCGUAUUAUAAUAUCAUCAGCUACGAUUGAAGCAAAAUCAAUGGCUGCUUUCUUUAAUACCAGGUUGGUUUCUUCUUGUGAUGAGUAUUUACCGAAGCUUUAUAAUUCUAUCCUCAAAAAUUCUAGUCUGAAUCUUCUGCAUGCUUUUGGGUUAUGCUUUUUGUAUUGAGUUGUAUUCUUUGAUUGGAUAUAUCAUGUACUUUUCACCUUGUUGGGAUUAGUGCUUUGCCUUGUUUUGAAUAUGUAGUGGAAGAUGUGAACUUUUCUUGGAACAGAAAGUUCAAGAACAGGUCGUAUCUAAGUAAAUUGUUUCCAGUGCACUUCCCUUUUAGUAUUAAAUCAUUAGCUCUGAUGGUUCGCCCAAGUGGUCUUUGUGGACAGUUGAGGUAUGCGAUCUUUUCUAUCCAGGAGGUUAAGAGGGGUGAAGUAUGCGACUGGCAUCUUGGAGUUGCUCGAUAAUGUAUGGAAGAGUUUGAACACAUGCUAGCAAUUCUUUCUUCAAUACUCAAGUUUUGGCUGUAGCCUUUGUUGAAUUGAGUAGAGAAGACGAUCCUAAGAAUAAAGAUUGAGCUGAUCUUAUGCAAACUUUGGAAACAAGAAUUAUUGUUUAUUACUUUAUUGAUUAGAGGUAGAGGUAUGGACUGCGUACAUCUUACCCCCCCAGACCCCACUAAGUGGGAAUACACUGGGUUUGUUGUUGUUGUUGUUGUACUUUUUUGAUUAGUUGUUUCUGUGAGCUAAUUGAUGAAUAUUUAAUGGGGUUAAAACUAAAUAAAUACUCUUACUCUCAAAGACGAGAAUUAAAAUAAUGUGAAUAGUCAUUUAACUUUUGCUUUAUCACUCACCUUUGGUUCCUGUCUCUUGUCUCUUGGUAUUGGUUUGACACAAUGAUAUAGUGGUCCUUGUGAAGCUUAAUUUCAAGUGAUCUCAACUUGUGAAGCUUAAUUUCAAGAGAUCUCAACUUACUUCUUCAUUUGCGACCACACUCCUUUUGUGUAAAUUUAGUUAAAGGAAGUUCAAUGGGUCAUAGUGCUAGUUAGUUGGUACAUUAGUGAAUGAUGUUUCCUGCCUUUGUCUGAGCAAUGCUUACAUAGGAUUUUAUCCAUGCUAUUGAGAACAAAGACGUAAACUCUAUGGUAACGAUUGAAAUGGCUUUUGAAGAAGCAUGCGGUUGAUUAGUUACCAGAGCUACAAAAAACCUUGAACUACUUAUUUAUAUUGAUAAUUGUGAUGUCCGGGCCAGCUUGCACUCACCUCUAUUAUUUCCUUGGGAUACCAGUUACCUCCCACCAACAACAAAUACCAGGUAACCUUGUCCACCAAGCCUUUGACAAAUGGGAAGAAAUCACCUAAUGUCUUGUCUCCGCAGGGAUUUAAAUCUGAGACCUUAUGUUUCUCCUUCCACUUCAUUGACAACUAGGCAACACCCUGGGUGAAAACUUGAACUACUUAAAGGAAUGUUAAUUGCAUAAUUCUUAUUUGACACUUCAGUAUCACGAAAUAGGAUACCUUAUUUUUCCUAUGCUCUUCUGAGUAACACUAGUUUUCUGAGUUUCAACUUCCGAGCAGCCUUUGAUCCCUUUGUAUACAUGACAAUUUUCGCUUGCAUCAUAUUAUUUCAUUCUAAAAAGCAGUAAAUUCUUUUCACAGUUAUGUAUCUUCUUUUAGUGUCUAGGUUUACAGUAUGCACUAAAACUUUUAUAUGUGACCAAAAAUUAGCAGAAGACGAUGCGAGCAGGAGCAAGGACCAAUUAAAGAACCUGCUAUUCUGUCAGUUGAGGUAUAUGGAUUUGAGAGACAAUCUCUCUUUUCUGUUUGCUUUGUUUGCACAACCAAAAAUCUAUGAAGUUUAUUAACUAGAUCGCUUAUUUAAAUUGCAGCAUGACUAUUGGAUCACUAUAUAUUCUAUGAACGUCUAGGGUAGAGGAUUUUGUUUAUGAUUUUCUUUGGUUGAUUUGCAACCUUACUGAAGUAUCAUCUUCUUUCACUUUGUCCUUCUAGGGUAGGGGAUUUAAUGUUGAGAUAUUUUAUGUUGAAGAUCCCGUUUCUGAUUAUGUUUGGGCCGCUGUUUCAACAGUGAUGUCGAUCCAUGACCAGGUACACUCUAUAGGAUGACUUCGUUGUACUAUUUCGCUACAUAAUGCUCAAAUGUGAAAAAUGUUGGGAUUAGUUCUCAAUGAUGAACUAUUUCUCUACAUUUCUUUCUUUGAUUCAUAAUAUACUAACAUAAAACACUUUAUUUAUGGCUCUUCAUUGAUACUUGUAGGAACGGAUGGGAGAUAUUCUGGUGUUUCUCACUGGUCAAGAUGAUAUUGAUGCUGCAAUACAGUUGCUUACUGAAGAAGCGCAAAGUAGUGGGAAGCAAGGUCGCAAAUAAUUCUUAACCAUUGCUAAGUGAUAAUAGCAUUGCUAACACAUAAUAGAAAAGUGGUUAUAGAUAAAUACAUUGCCUUGUAUCAAAUCAAAGAAAAAAGAAAUAAAGGAUAGAUUUCAUAAUUUUUCCAAUUCACUUUUCUUGCAGGACUGGUUACUGUGCCACUAUACUCGGGACUUCCUCGAGCAGAUCAGGUAGGGUAAUGCAUCAUGCAGUUUUCAGGAUAAGAUUCGUAGAACUUUUCACCAAUUUUUUUCUCAAUUGUACAGGACCUUGUGUUUUCCCCUACUCCCAAAGGAAAAAGAAAAGUGAUAUUUUCAACAAAUAUUGCUGAGACGUCGUUGACUCUAGAGGUAUAAAUCUGAGACAUCAGUGGUCAAAUUUUUUGAGGCAUAAAUGUUAUUAUGUUUGUCUUUAUCAUAUUCCUUAGCUGAAGCGUUUCUUUCUCUUCAGGGUAUUGUCUAUGUUGUUGAUAGCGGGUUCUCAAAACAACGUUUUUACAACCCGGUACUUUUUUCUAUCUGUUUGACUUGACUCUUUUUCCAUGCUUUCUGAUCAGCUUGUUUUGGCUGAUCUUGCUGCUGUUAUUAAAAUAAAUUUCUACACACGUCGAUGUUUGACCUCUUUUAGUAGCAGUUUUCUGAGUCGUCAUUCUGGUUUUGUGCACCAUAAUCAGGAUUGACAUAUGUUACACGCAUUACCUGUUUCCAGGUGCCAUUACUCCUGACUGAGACUUUGUAGAACUUUUAUAAUAAGCUUGUGUUCUAUAAGCUUUAAUAUUUUAACCCUAAGCCUCCCCUCAUUCUUCCUAUUGGUCUCUUUGCUUAAUGUAAGCAUGGAUGCUCAAAACAUGCUUUAAUGAACAAACAUGGGAAGAUAAUUUGGCUCUGUCGCUAUCAAGUAUAUGAUCUAUAUGUUGGACUCUUGCUUCUUCUGAGGAAUACUAUCCAAUACUUCUGUAUUGAGCUUUCCCCAGUUUUGUUGAUUCAGUUUCUGGUAAUUAAUGCAUAAAGAAUGCCAUUAUAGAUGCCAAAAGGAAUUCAAUCCAUACAUGCCAAAAUAAUGCAAUAUAUGCAUGUCUUUCCUGAUAUUGUGUUUUUAUGUUGGAUCUGCUUUAAAUCAGAUUUCAGAUAUUGAGAAUUUGGUAGUGGCACCAAUAUCAAAGGCAUCUGCUCGACAAAGGGCUGGUAGAGCUGGAAGAGUUCGACCAGGAAAGUGUUUUAGGUUGGUGACUGGCCACACGUUAUAAUCUGAAACUUACUCCUAGAAGCACCACUGAAGGAGACAUAUCAUUAUGAUUGAUUUUUUUCAAAGCUUAACACUCCCGAAGUCCCAAAUUGUUCUAUCAUAUCUCCCGUUUGUCCCUAAUUAAUCUUCCAAUGGCUGACACUAAAUAUAUUUUAUUCAUGUACUGGGUCAUUUUUAUGCUAAUCAUGUUAAUAAACUAUAAAGAUCUAUUAUCUCAUCUUUCUGCAUGUGAAAAAAUUCACAUAUCUAACUCCCAACUCAAUGAAAUACUGUAAAUUUUUCUUGUCAUUGUAAAUUUAAUCCAUGUCAUUUGAUUUUAAACCGAGUAAGUACUAGUUUAUAGAACAUUUUAUGUGAAUUUGAUGAAUUGACGCCCUACUUUCCAUCAUAGAUCUUAGUUGGUGAAUAGACUCACCUAUGUUUAAUUUUUUUUUUAAAUGACUAUGUCUAAGUUUAAAUAGGAAGUAGAGAAUUCCUUAUUUGUCUCUAGUCCUGGGGAUGUUUAUAGUUACCUUUCCGUUUAAGAAAUAUAAUUGUUGACUUUUCGAUUUUUCUGUUCAGGCUCUACACAGAAGAUUAUUUUUCCAAAGAGAUGUCUGUGGUGGGAAUCCCGGAGAUACAGAGAUCAAACCUCGUUUCCUGUGUCAUCCAGGUAUGACUUUCUUGAACCAAGAAGAUACUACACCGGUGCUUUUUCUUGCUAUGACUUCUCUUUUCCUGAUGUGCAUGGAGCUCUAGAUAUGACCUCCUUAUCAGGGAGGUUGGCUAGACUGUCUGCCCUGAAAAAAUGUCACGUCUGAUCUGUUAUCAUUUAGUAACUGAAGCAUCAUUUGUCAUUGUAUAAAGUCUGCGUACAUCCUACCCUCCCCAGAACCCCACUUAUAGGGCCACACUUUGUAUGUUAUUGUUGUUGUAGUCAAGAGAAAACCAUUUAGUUAUGUAAGGGUAAGUUUUACUAUUCAAUAUUCAUGUGAACUUCAAACGGUUCUAGGCAUAACAACAGCUUGCAAAGGGAAGUGACACAUUAAAUGGUUCACUUUAGAGGUAUCCAUUUGUAAUCUCUUCUAUAAAAAUUGAAUAUGGAACAUUCCUCUGAUUGAUUAAUCCAACUCCCAACCUUUAAAUUUCAGUAAAUGUUUUCUAUAAGUAGAACACGUUGAGGAACUGUUGUGUUGCUUUUUUAUGAGCUUCAUCUUUUCAUCUCCUUUGCGGAGUCAAAUCUUCAAAUCCGAGUCUCAUCCUAUUGUUUCAGUCUGUCGAGAAAUUUCUUGGAUAUUAGCUAAUAACAUUUCUUAUCAAUGUCCCAGUUGAAGGCCUUAGGAAUCGAUAAUAUCUUAGGUUUUGAUUGGCCAGCAUCCCCAUCAGCUGAAUCGAUGAUCAGAGCACUUGAAGUACUGUAUUCUCUUGGAGUACUAGAUGACGACGCCAAACUUACUUCACCUACUGGAUUUCAAGUUGCCGAGAUUCCACUGGUAUGUUUCUGACCGACCGUCUCAUAUGCUUCAUUAAAUUUCCUCAUUUUCUUUGUCUUUGUUGUUCGGUGCAAACUUCUUUUUCCAGCUCCAGUAGCAUUGCUUGCAAGUUGGAUUCUUCUGUCAAAUUUACAACUCUGCUUCUUUUUAUGGCAUUCUCUGCUUCUUUUUAUGGCAUUCUCACCAACACUACCCCUCUUUCCCCGUUCUCCAAUAAAAGGAUUUAAAAAAAAGAAAUCCAUCAUACAGGAGUAGUGAGCAAGGAAUAUUUACGCAUUUAUACAAAAUAAAGUAACACCUUAGGGAGUGGCCUAGCGGUCGACAAAGUGAGAUGAAAACCAAGGGAGACCUGCGCUCAAAUCCCAGUUGUGGAAAAAAAUUGCUAGGUGAUAUCUUCUCACUAGCAAUUUGAAGAUAAAGUCUUUGAUUUUAUUCCUCGUCUUCUAUACGUCUAAAUGUUAAUCAAUAAAUAUCAAUUUGCACGGCCAAGAUACUGAUGCACUUCAUAUUGUUCAGUGCCAUAGGCGUGACAUCAAUAGUACGUUGAUUAACUAGAUGUUUGAUGCUUUGCCGAAGGUCUCUCAGUGUAUUACAUUUGCAAUGUGAUUCUUCAAUUCGUGAAUAUAAGAGUUUCUUACUCACUUUCUGAAACCUAUAUUGUUGUGUAGGACCCAUUAAUAUCUAAAAUGAUAUUGGCUUCUUAUGAGUUUGGAUGUUCUGAGGAAAUAAUUACCAUUGCUGCUGUGCUCUCCAUACAGGUAAAUCCUUGUCUUCCGCACCCUAAUUGAUUUAGCACUUAAACAAGACUGCUAUAUUUUGUCAGACCAACAUAUUGUUCAUUUUUGCAGUCUAUUUGGAUUCCUGUUAGAGGAGUACAGAAACAGUUGGAUGAAGCAAAAUUGAAAUUCGCAGCUGCCGAGGUUUUUGGUUUCUUCUAUUUGCUUAUUAUGUUCACCUAAGUAAUAACCUAUUUGCAUUUUACUUGAACUACAUGUUGAAGUUCAUUUACUUGAUGCAAUGCAUAAGCAGAAAUGGUUUUCCAGUCAAGAACUCAUACUGGUGCAAAAUAAUUAAAAAAGAACGGAUAUUGUGUUUGUCUUGUGAUUUCUACAAACUUGCUACUCUGCUAACUAUCACCUUCAAGGAUUAAAAAUGUCUGAUGGCGUCCAACAAAAUACCACAUGCAAUUAGAAAGUUUGUAUAGUGAUAGUCCAACCGGUAACUUUUCUGGAAAUUGGAAUUAAGAUUGCUGCCUAUUUGUUUCUAGUUAUUAACUUGUUUAGUUUUCUUCGAGUAAAUUCAUGUGUAACUUUGGCGUACCUUUUGCAGGGUGACCACGUCACAUUCUUAAAUGUGUAUAAAGGAUUCAUUCAGUCUAACAAAUCUUCAAAAUGGUGUCACAAGAAUUUUAUAAAUUAUCAUGCCAUGGUAAGUCCUAAUCCAACUUCCGUCGGAAGCAUUUUGGAUGCUCUAUUUUUUUUUACGUUGUGACAUCCUGGAUUUUUUGCCAUUGCCUUCUAUAUGCAGAGAAAAGUAAUUGAAGUUAGGGAACAGCUGAAAAGGAUUACACAACGGUUGGGCAUAGGAUUGAAAUCUUGUGAAGGGGAUAUUCAGGUAACUGAUUGCUCUCUAUGAUUAAAGAUUUAUUCAUGGGCUCAGAGAUUGCAGCGUCAUCUUUUUCUUAAUAGCAGCAUAUUUUUUUAAUACUGUUUAAAAAAUUUUAUUCUAGGGCAAUUCUUAUGAUGUAAUAAGGCGUAACUAAAUUUAGUCAUUUUGCAGGCAGUAAGGAAGGCAAUUACGGCAGGGUUUUUUGCCAAUGCUGCCCGUUUAGAAGUGAGUAUGAAAUUUAGUACAAGUCUCAUAAUUGUUUUGCCUUAAAGGCACACUCUCUUUCCAUUUCUAUUGUCUUGCUGGCCUUCAGUUUUUCUGAUAUGAACAUAUUUGAUAACGUCUAUUGCUUGUCUUUGAAACAGCCAUUCAGUCACAAUGGGAUGUACAAGACUGUCAGAACUUCUCAAGAAGUUUAUAUUCAUCCUUCAUCUGUGCUGUUCAGGUACUUCCAUAUUACAUUUUUGUCAAAACUUGAUUUGUUUGCUGAUAUUACACAGAUGUAAAAGUACUUUUCCUUAUUUGUUAUAAAACAAGGAAGUUAUAUUGUUGCUCAAUUGCUCAUUAAGCAACGGUAUACUUUUUCUGAUAUCGGAGAAAUAUCAUGAAUUGGCUCAUAGGUUCGAAUUCCAAAGAGCCUAGGCCCAACUUCUCUACACUUUUCCCAACUUAACUAUCAGUCUUUGGCUGCAUCAGUGUUCAAAUCCUUGAGAUGUGCCUAACCGAAACAUCACGUGAUGCUUCCUUAACAGUGGAUCAAAAGCCGGGUGGGCUAAGAAGAUCCAUGUUCGCUGAGUCAAAUACAUAAUUAAAAAGCAGUCAAUGUCUCAAAUUGUUGCAUGGUUUGGUCUAGAAUUGGUUCCUUCUUGUCGUCAUCUUUCCUUCUAUAUGUGCCUGUAUGCGUGGACACUGACAUAUUUCCAAGGAGAACAUAGCUGCACUCCCCUCGUGACUACAUAUUCAUUCAGGGGACAUCACGGAUUUUGAUUAGCAUUGCCUAUUUUCCUAUGUUCUGUUACAUCUUAAAGUUUAUAAUGUGUUCUCUCGAAUAUAACAGGGUCAACCCAAAGUUUAUUGUGUACCAUUCUCUUGUUUCAACUGAUCGUCAGUACAUGCGAAAUGUCAUUACUAUCGAUCCUUCUUGGCUAACGGAGGCUGCACCACAUUUUUACCAGAAGCAGCUGCAUAGUUCUGUUCCUCAAUGAUGCACAAAAUUUUCAAAGAUGCUUCUUGGCAGCCUCAGUUUUGUCUGAAAAUUUUGUUAUGUGUAAACCUUUUUAAAUAAAUUGUAAAUUGGCUAUACUUUCUCUCUAUGGUGGAGCUACGUAGGCUCGAGGGAGGUCAGUUAAACGUCUUUCGCUUGAAAAUUCUACUGUGUAUAUAGGUCGAAUAUUACUUUUCUGUACAUUAUAUUAUAUUGAAUAUUGAACAUUCUUAACGAAAUUGCUCCCUUUGCCAUUGUUUAAAUCUCAUUUAGAUUUAAAAAUAAAAUAAAAAAUUGGGGUAGCGGAAGGGGAAAUGGAGAGGGAAUUACAAUGUGGAGAACCGAACCCUCGCCAACAACGCGGGAGUUCAGGUAGCCAAUCAACUGAGCUGCUAAGAUUCACCAAAUCGCGUUUAGAUGUUAUAAACAAAAUUACAAAAAAAAUUGUUUUCUUGUACUAAGAAGAUGAAAUGUAUUUGUUAAUCAAUUUAACAAAGACACUUUGGAUAUUUCUUUCCCACAACAACACAAUAAUAUUGACAAUGUAGCCAUUAAAUAGUUUUGUUUAGAGGGAAAUUAUUAGCUUUUGUGCUUUUUUUUUAUAUUAGUUUUCUCAUAUGUAGGUCGUUGAUCAAAUCAUAUCAAAAUAUUAUUUUCUUUUAAUAUGUUUUUCUUUAUCGUCUAAUUUAUCAUCAUCAAUGUGUUUGCAAUUACUAGCUUUCCACAUGUCGCAUUGAUUAUUUGGAUCCCAACAAGUUCUUGUUUACUUAUUUGUAUUCCGAAUCCUUCUUGAUUUUGCCACUAUAAUACUAAGCAUGAAAGAAUAAGUCUUGGUAUACAAAUUUAAUCAACAUGAUAAUACUCAACUUAGUACAUAAUUGUAUUUUCUUGAAUUAUAAGUAGAGUACAACACACACUCAUAGAAAUUACUUACUAACGGAUAUAUAAUGUGUACGCAAAUCUUAUCUCUAACUUGGAAGGUAGAGAGACUGUCUUCGAUAAUAAUGUGUACGUAGAUCUUACCUCUAACUCGAAAGGUAGAGAGACCGUCUUCGAUAAGCCUUAACUCAAUCAAAAAUAUAUAUUAAAGCAGUUGGAGAACACACAAUACAAUUAGUACAUACUCUUAACUAAUAAUUAGGAAGUAUAAUAUUUGCAAAUGUCAAGCAACUGAUCACCAAACUCACAACCUCUUUUGUAUACUAAGUUCAUAAUCAGGGGCGGAGCUACCCUUAUGCAAGAGGGUUUAUCCGAACCUUUACAUAUUUAUUUUUGAACUCUCUUAAUGAAAAUCCUGAUUGUCCAAAAUAAUUUUUAUAUAUUUAAUUUAUGUGGUUGUAAAUCAUUUUAUUAAGGAUAAAAAGAAAUUUUUAAAGUUAAAUUGUUUCUAAUUAUAAUAAAGUGACGUAAUUUUCAUCACCAAAGGAUGUGGUGCAGUGGAUGGACUGCUCUUCUCUUAACCAGAGAGGUCUCGGGUUUGAGUCCUGGGUAUGAAAAAAUCUUUGGUAAGGAGCGCUACCCCUCGAAUGGGGCUCUACUCGGCGCGAAUCUAGACUAGUGGGCUCCAAUGUGGAUAUCAGACAUCAGAUGGGAAACGAAAAAAAAAAAAAACCAUAAUUUUCGAUCGAGAUGGACAAAAAAAAGGGAUCGAUGUCAUAUAAAAUGGGACGAAAAGAGUACUAUUACUAUUGUAGAUUCACCCUUGAUUAACAUGUAUUUGAGAUUUUCAAUGUUGCGAUAAUUAAUAUUAUUUAAGAUUUCACAAUUUUAAUAUGGUAUCAGAGCAAACCAACCUUCAUUAGCCGCCUUAGGUAUAACGUUCACAGGGAUUUCUGGAAUUGAAAAUGGAAAUGCAGCAACCUGUAAGGAUAUUAUUAUUGGAAAAAUAGCCAAAGAAAGGCAAACCAACAGAAAUGUCUUGGAACUACAACUCAUUUUUCCUUUUUUUCUUUAAAGAUUAAUUAGUAUUUUAU
This 32834-nucleotide long non-coding RNA is filed under the name Capsicum annuum. RNAcentral describes it as "long non-coding RNA (CANN_LNC005756)". Lineage: Eukaryota; Viridiplantae; Streptophyta; Magnoliopsida; Solanales; Solanaceae. The record is from RNAcentral.